UACGUAGGGUGCGAGCGUUAAUCGGAAUUACUGGGCGUAAAGCGUGCGCAGGCGGCCAUGCAAGACAGAUGUGAAAUCCCCGGGCUCAACCUGGGAACUGCAUUUGUGACUGCAUGGCUGGAGUGCGGCAGAGGGGGAUGGAAUUCCGCGUGUAGCAGUGAAAUGCGUAGAUAUGCGGAGGAACACCGAUGGCGAAGGCAAUCCCCUGGGCCUGCACUGACGCUCAUGCACGAAAGCGUGGGGAGCAAACAGG
This 253-nucleotide ribosomal RNA is filed under the name uncultured bacterium. RNAcentral's name for it is "partial 16S ribosomal RNA". It matches the Rfam family "Bacterial small subunit ribosomal RNA", at positions 524 to 776 of the family's 1533-position model. The record is from RNAcentral.